GGGAAGGAAAAGGAUGAAAACAACCUUGAUAUUGAGGGUAACAUGAAAGAACAUCAUUUUUAAACACAAAAAUGUAGGAUUGCUUAGCUUUAUCUCGAGUACUAAGUAAAGAUUACCUAUCAAAAUUAUCAAAUAGACCAACAUAAAUCUGAAAGAAAGAGAGGUUUGGUUUUCAUUUAAUCCCAACUUGAUAUUUCUGAUUUUGUUUGGUGUCUAGCAUAUUGAAUGAGUAGAGCUUGUGCCACUCAAAUCAUGCACUGUAAAUAUUUGUCUGCUUUAGAAAAUAGUGUUUCCCACUGUCUACUGAUGUUGUAAUAAAAUUUUUACAAUAUUUGCAAAUGACAUUAUGCCAUAUGUAUCAUAGUCUGUUGCAUGUCCACUAUUGUUAGGUCUUCUGGACUUUGCUAUUCUUUACAGCUCGUUUAGGAAUAUAUUUUU
Molecule: unclassified non-coding RNA, 438 nt
Filed under: Hevea brasiliensis (rubber tree)
Lineage: Eukaryota; Viridiplantae; Streptophyta; Magnoliopsida; Malpighiales; Euphorbiaceae
Source: RNAcentral